AGGGUUUCGAGCUCUCUCUCGCAUUAGUUAACUCGGAAGAUCAAAACAGGGAUGGCUUAGAACAAGGACUUGCCUAUGUUUAAUCAACUUCCCCUUUGGAUGUUCUCAGUGGCAACGUGCCUCCGCGGAGAAAUACGAAUCACCAUGACUUAUGCCUUCGCCAACACCUGGACUUAAAAAGGCCAGGCAGUAUAAGCUUACAGAUAUAUGCGUCUCAUCAAAGAAAUUGGUGCAUCCAAAGUAUGGAUCGGAUUUAAAACGAACUCUGAUGAGGGUCAUAUGCCUAUUGAUGUAUGUAUAUUCUCUGCAGGGUGCAUGUAAUUCUCGCAAACUUUGUACUUAGUAUCUUGAAAAUAAAACUCAUACAGUAUUAA
Long non-coding RNA from Haliotis rubra (blacklip abalone), 374 nucleotides. RefSeq lists it as uncharacterized. The record is from RefSeq and is a predicted model, not a curated record. Lineage: Eukaryota; Metazoa; Mollusca; Gastropoda; Lepetellida; Haliotidae. The transcript is spliced from 2 exons.